CUCGAGUGCAUGAAGCUGGAAUCGCUAGUAAUCGCGGAUCAGAAUGCCGCGGUGAAUACGUUCCCGGGUCUUGUACACACCGCCCGUCACACCAUGGGAGUCGGGAAUGCCCGAAGCCGGUGGCCCGAUCGAAAGAAGGGAGCCGUCGAAGGCAGGCCGGAUGACUGGGGUGAAGUCGUAACAAGGUACC
RNAcentral lists this ribosomal RNA (190 nucleotides) under uncultured bacterium. RNAcentral's name for it is "partial 16S ribosomal RNA". It matches the Rfam family "Bacterial small subunit ribosomal RNA", at positions 1311 to 1500 of the family's 1533-position model. The record is from RNAcentral.